This 512-nucleotide ribosomal RNA is filed under the name Shigella flexneri. RNAcentral describes it as "bacterial SSU rRNA". It matches the Rfam family "Bacterial small subunit ribosomal RNA", at positions 882 to 1394 of the family's 1533-position model. Lineage: Bacteria; Pseudomonadati; Pseudomonadota; Gammaproteobacteria; Enterobacterales; Enterobacteriaceae. The record is from RNAcentral.
ACGGCCGCAAGGUUAAAACUCAAAUGAAUUGACGGGGGCCCGCACAAGCGGUGGAGCAUGUGGUUUAAUUCGAUGCAACGCGAAGAACCUUACCUGGUCUUGACAUCCACGGAAGUUUUCAGAGAUGAGAAUGUGCCUUCGGGAACCGUGAGACAGGUGCUGCAUGGCUGUCGUCAGCUCGUGUUGUGAAAUGUUGGGUUAAGUCCCGCAACGAGCGCAACCCUUAUCCUUUGUUGCCAGCGGUCCGGCCGGGAACUCAAAGGAGACUGCCAGUGAUAAACUGGAGGAAGGUGGGGAUGACGUCAAGUCAUCAUGGCCCUUACGACCAGGGCUACACACGUGCUACAAUGGCGCAUACAAAGAGAAGCGACCUCGCGAGAGCAAGCGGACCUCAUAAAGUGCGUCGUAGUCCGGAUUGGAGUCUGCAACUCGACUCCAUGAAGUCGGAAUCGCUAGUAAUCGUGGAUCAGAAUGCCACGGUGAAUACGUUCCCGGGCCUUGUACACACCGCC